GAUGAACGCUCGCUACAGGCUUAACACAUGCAAGUCGAGGGGAAACGACAUCGAAAGCUUGCUUUUGAUGGGCGUCGACCGGCGCACGGGUGAGUAACGCGUAUCCAACCUGCCCAUCACUUGGGAAUAACCUUGCGAAAGUAAGACUAAUACCCAAUGACAUCCCACGAAGACAUCUGAAUGGGAUUAAAGAUUUAUCGGUGAUGGAUGGGGAUGCGUCUGAUUAGCUUGUUGGCGGGGUAACGGCCCACCAAGGCAACGAUCAGUAGGGGUUCUGAGAGGAAGGUCCCCCACAUUGGAACUGAGACACGGUCCAAACUCCUACGGGAGGCAGCAGUGAGGAAUAGUGGUCAAUGGGCGAGAGCCUGAACCAGCCAAGUAGCGUGCAGGAGGACGGCCCUAUGGGUUGUAAACUGCUUUUAUAAGGGAAUAAAGUGGGUCUCGGGAGACUUUUUGCAUGUACCUUAUGAAUAAGGACCGGCUAAUUCCGUG
RNAcentral lists this ribosomal RNA (492 nucleotides) under uncultured bacterium. RNAcentral describes it as "partial 16S ribosomal RNA". It matches the Rfam family "Bacterial small subunit ribosomal RNA", at positions 28 to 507 of the family's 1533-position model. The record is from RNAcentral.